RNAcentral lists this long non-coding RNA (23086 nucleotides) under Eucalyptus grandis. RNAcentral describes it as "long non-coding RNA (EGRA_LNC004548)". Lineage: Eukaryota; Viridiplantae; Streptophyta; Magnoliopsida; Myrtales; Myrtaceae. The record is from RNAcentral.
GGAGGAUCAAGCUGGGGUCGCAGGGCCUGGAGGUGACGGCGCAGGGGCUGGGCUGCAUGGGUAUGUCCGCCUUCUACGGCCCUCCCAAGUCCGACCCCGACAUGAUCGCCCUCAUCCACCACGCCGUCGGCUCCGGCGUCACCUUCCUCGACACCUCCGACGUCUACGGCCCCCACACCAACGAAAUCCUCCUCGGAAAGGUCGGUUCUCUCAGUCUCUCUUUUGCCUCCGCAUGAAUUAUAUAGGGGAUUUAGCUUCAUCGAGCAGUGUGCUCCGAUCCUGCGCCUUGGUUUUCUGAUUUCGGGGUUGAUUUUGAGCAGGCACUGAAGGGAGGGGUGAGGCAGAAGGUGGAAUUGGCGACCAAGUUCGGAAUCAGCUUCGCGGACGGGAAGAGGGAGAUCCGGGGUGAUCCGGCGUACGUGAGGGCGGCUUGCGAGGCCAGCUUGAAGCGGCUCGACAUCGAUUGCAUCGACCUCUACUACCAACAUCGCAUCGACACUCGCGUCCCCAUCGAAGUCACUGUAUGGAUCCCUCAUCAAACCUUUACCUCUCUUAAGACAUUCUCCGAGUGAUCAGUUGCUAAAUUAGAUUGGUGUUGAUGAUGCAUCAUCAUCAAGAUAUCGUUAAAUGAGACUUGAGUUCAGAUGAUAGCAGAGUUCAAGAUGCGGCACGGUGUUGUUCAAGGGAUUGUGGAAUUUAGUAGUUUAUAUGGCUUGAGUUUUUGUUUUAUGGGUCAACAAGCAUGAAAAUUAUUUGAAUUCUUUAUUUGAGAUGAAAGUGCUCCAGGGUUCAUCCUGAUUUAUAUCUGAGAAUCACAUUUGAAGUUGUUCCUGGACUUUCUGCGGAGACAUUUGGUUCUUGACAUGUCAUUGUGAAUUAUGACAAGUACUUGGAAUACUUCUUUAAUUUGCCUUCUUCUGUAAUAGAUUAGAGAGAUCCACCUCCGUUAACGCAAUACCUUGCGACUUUCUUGUUGCAUUGAGAUGCACAAAGAUUGACUAUUUUUUGCUGGGAGCUACCUAGUCAAAUUGUAAUGUUUGAGAAGUCAGGGAACACAAACUAUUCAGGCAUCAGGACACAAGAAAAACUAAUGAUGUUCAAUAAUUUCUGGACUUAACAUGUAAGAUCUUGACGAUUGUUGUUUUUUCAUGUGAAUAUGCACAGAUUGGAGAGCUAAAGAAGCUCGUUGAAGAGGGUAAGAUCAAGUACAUCGGUUUAUCCGAGGCCUCUGCGUCAACAAUCAGAAGAGCACAUGCUGUUCAUCCCAUCACAGCGGUGCAACUGGAGUGGUCGCUGUGGUCAAGAGAUGUGGAGGCAGAGAUCAUUCCCACGUGCAGGUAGGAUAUCACUGUUUAUUUGUUUAUGCAGUAACAACAUCUUUCUUCUGACUCUGCUCUUCCUUUAAAAUGUUGACUAGGGAGCUUGGCAUUGGAAUUGUUGCCUACAGUCCUCUUGGACGAGGAUUCCUUUCUGUUGGCUCCAAGUUGGUGGAGAAUCUCUCCAAGGAUGACUUCAGACAGGUCUGUUUCUGCUGGUCAACAUAAUUAGAUGCUCACAGUGACUGUCAUUCCCAUUGAAGUGCUGGAAACCUGUUCUUAUGCUAUAAAGAAAAAGUAUCUGGAUGUUAUGAAUAAAACUUUAUGACACAAACGCUUCAUAUUCUUAUUCGAUCCAGCACUCGCCAGUCAUCCCACCUCUCGUGAUUCUAGAUAAAUUUAAAAAUCACAAGUAAUGGCUUUAAUGAGCCUGAAAGGGGCAGUUUCCCAGAUUCUUGUGCUUUUGGGAAUGAAUAAAUAUAGGUUUAUUUGUAAGUUGCUCCGUUUCCCAGCUUUCCCACCAUUUGCUAAUCACUAUCCUUUCCCCGCUUUCCACCCACCCUUUUUCUCUCAAUUCUUUAGAAGAUUAGCAAUAUUUGCUCAAAAUAACCGACACCAAUAUUGGGCCUUGGCCUCCGUCCUUUUUUUUUUCUCAUUUUUCUUCACAAGAUAAAUUAUAUCUUGACACAACCAUUUCUUGAGUGAGGACUCCCUAACACCCUUCUUAUGGUAGUUUUGGGAUCAAGUUCCCAUCUGACAUAAAGCCAAUUGUGUAUUACUCCCGGCCAUUAGUGUUUGACUAGCGAUAGUGCUGGGCAAGUGAAGUAGCUAUUUUUCUUUAUAGCUAAAAGAGCUUUGCGUCUGAUAACAUUCUUCUACACGUCAUCUACCUUUUGUGAUUUUUUUUUCUUAUGUGUAUCAUACGUACAAAACUUAGAUUGUCGAGUUUGUUUCUGUUUUCACAUCCUACAUCAAACCCAUCAGCCUUGUGUGGUAGUUGCUAGAUCACUUGGCUUGGCGUUUCUAAUGCUUAUGAUUUGGGGCUAGAUUUUUUAAUCAUUUCAAGAUAAUCUAUAACUGAUCAUGCUUUUCCAGGUACACAACAAUUGUGCACUUCUAAAUGCUUAUUAUGUCAAGUAACAAGGCAAUCUGUUGGCAUGCAAUGCGAUCACUUUUGCACCUGUUGCUGUAGAAUUUGGCCUUAAAAGGAAAAUGAUAGUUGCUCAUAUGCUUUCUGCUGAGACAUUGCUCUAUGUUAUGCAGUACCUACCAAGGUUCCGGCCAGAGAACUUGGCUCACAACACAAAGUUAUUCGACCGAGUGAAUGAAAUUGCACAAAGAAAGGGAUGCACCCCGUCGCAGUUAGCCCUCGCCUGGGUACACCACCAGGGUGAUGAUGUUUGCCCAAUUCCUGGCACGACCAAGAUUGAGAAUUUCAACCAGAACAUCGGAGCUCUAUCAGUGAAGCUUACACCGGAAGAGAUGGCGGAGCUCGAAUCGAUUGCUUCUGCAGACAAUGUCAAGGGUGGCAGGUACGAUGGAAACCUCUCUACAUGGGAAAACUCCGACACUCCACCCCUUUCUUCUUGGAAACCUGCCUAGAAACAUGUCUACUUCUUUUGCUGCGUCUUUGAUAUGCAGAGUUUGUGCAUUUGCCGCUGAAGUAAUUUGAGGCUAUGUUGUGUGGCUUUUAUAAGUAUGUGUAAUAAGAGUGACUGUUUUCGUUUUGUACAACAUGUGACAUUCACUAUGAGAAGAUUAUGGAUAUGUACUAAGCUUACUGGGGAAAGAUCACUCGAUAAACACAAGAGCGAGUUGAAUAUGAACUGAGCCUGCCAUGCCGACUUUAUCGGGGUGACUUUUAGAAUCUGAGAAAUCGGGAUUUUGAAGAAUUCAAACUCAGUCGUACAUACUAAGUGACGCUUUAUUCUCCUCCAACCAUGAGUUCAAUACUAACACCGUGUGCAACAUACUCUUAAGACUGGAUGCUACACAUAGAUACAAUGCUUCGCUUUGUGUUUGGUUUGGUAGCGAAGUAAAGGAACAGUAAAAUGUUACCGGAUGUUCUCGCAAAAACAAAGUUUGGGAUAAAAUGCUGGCGUAGUUGAUAUGAGUGUCGGGGAAAUCAAAGGUUUCUUGUUCAAGUUUCACCACCUACGGUGCAUGAGCUUUUAUGUAGCUCGAUACCUUUGCUCAUGCCUCUGCAUUAUUAUAAAACAGUCGGAGAUAUUGCGCAAGUUUCCUAAAAUUAAAAACGACACUUCUAUUGUUUUUUAUUUGGAAUUAGAGUGGAGCAAUGUUGUUUUGUUUUGGUUUAGGAAAAUAACGCAAAUAGUCAUUAAACUUUGGUCCAAUGUGUUAUGUUCUUACUGAACUUUUAAUUUAUUUAGUAUGGUUGUCGAACUUUUUGUACAUGUUUAAUUUAGAUCCUAGGCUAGAUAAAUCUAAUGACGCUGUGUUUGGUCGUUCGAACAUCUUUGCUAUAUGGGAUAAUGAUAGGAUAAAAAUCCCAUCUAAUAUUUCUUGACGUCCGGAUAUAACAUGAUUCAAAUAAAACAAAUUUAAAUGAGUGUUUGAUUUGUAUAAUUAAAAUUAAAAGUAAACCAUGGAAGUCGUGAAUAGUAUUCAUCCUUUCACAAUCUUCAUCGAUAUUAAACACCCCCGUUCCAUGUGACUUCAAGGACGCUCUCCUUCUGCAACGCCCCUUUCGCUGCCCUUGAUCAACUUGAUGGAUUACGCUCGCUCUACCUUUGACUUCGCCACAUUGAGAGGCCCUUGGGUUUGAGUUCUCCGCUGGUCUAGCCAUCUUUACUUUCAACGCCUUUUCCUGCGAUGAAUCCAUCCCCUUCGAUGAGUGUGAAUACUGCGUUGAUUCCCUGUUACCGUGUCCCGACUUGUUCAGUCACUUCAACAGCUUCCCCGAGACAGCGUGCGGAUCCGGUUUAUGAGUGGUAGCAGCAUCGGUACAACUCGCUCCAAGUGACGUGGUUGAGGAGCUCUAUCACCUUGGCUGCUGCCUCUUUCGGAUCAUCUUCUUCACAGAGGAGGUGUCCAGCUUUGAUCGGGAUCACAAAGUUCCCAACUAAAAUGGAGUUAAGUGACAUAAGAAAGAGGCAGGGCUGACGAGCUCCGGCGCCACUUUUCCGAGGCAGCCAAAGGUGGUAAGCAGCUUGUCACUGGUAGGAGGAACGGUGGCCCUUAGAGUUUGCUCAGGUCGUUGUGGCGAGGGCUUCUCUAGGUAUCUUCGUGAUACUCAUGCUUUAAGUUUGUGGUGGUCAUUUUAGCGAGAAAAAUCGGAACGAGAGAGAGAUGAUGGUGGCACUGGUAAAAAAUGAGGAUAAGCCAUCAACAAGCGCAGGAGUGGGGGAAAAACUUGUAUCCCUUAUUUUUUCAAUUUUCCAAAUUUCACAUAUCCUAUCUAGAUCUAUAUCACUUUUUAGAUGGGAUUUUUUAUCCAGACUAUAUCUAAAUUUCACUAACAUCGGGACCCCUAGAGUGCCAAAAGUUUGCACAAAAAGACAAUUAAGUGUCAAAAGUUAUGAAAAUGACACUUAAGUGCUAAAAUUGGAAUAAAAUAGAUCACUUAAGUGCAAAUCUGGUCAAAAUAUUGACAUGACAAUUUUCCAGCAAAACAAGUGCAAAACGGUGUCGUUUUGGUGCUGACAUGGAAAAAAUUAAUACAAAAAUUAAUUAAAUGAAAUUUAAAAUUAAAUUUAAUUAAAACAUUUAAAAAUAAAAAUACAAAAAUUUUAAAAAAGGAGAGAGGCGGUUGAGGGCUGAGCCCUUGUCGCUAGGAAGGGUCGGAGAUGGAGGGGGGAGGGUUAGCCGGGGUUGCCGGGCCCUAGGCCAGGGGCCGGCGACCUCGGCCAACUGGUGGCAAGGGCCCGCGAGCCCUCGCCUAGUUUUGGGGCGAGGGUUGCGGCCCUCACCUAGUUGAGCCAAGGGCCGCCGAUCCUCGCAGAAUCUGGGUGAGGGCUGCAACCCUUACUAGAUUUGGGCAAGGGCUCGUGAGCCCUCGCUGCCGGUUAGUUGGGGUCGCUGGCCCCUAGCUAGGGCUCAGCGACCAUGGUUGACCCUCCCCCCUCCGUCGUUGACCCUUCACGGUGACGACAGCGAUGGCUCAACCCUUAGCUACCUCCCCUCCCCCCCUCUUUGUCUCUCUGUCUCUGUCUCUCUCUGUCUAUAUAUAUAAAUAUUUAUGAUUUUUUAAUACUUGUAUUUGUAUUUUUAAAUGUUUUAAAUAAAUUUAAUUUUACAUUUAAUUUAAUUUACAUUAUUUUUUUACCAUAUUAACACCAAAACGACGUCAUUUUUGCAUUGUCUAGCUACGACAGUGUGCAAAAUGAUGCCGUUUUGCACUUACUUCGCCAGAAAUUGCGUACAUCAGAGCCAUGAUUUCGUUUGUAAUAAUAUCCGUUCCAUAUGCUUAAUAGGUGAAUCCAAUGCUGAGAAGGUUUCUUCACAUCAUGACAGAUCUAGAAAUACUAGAAGCAUCUGUUUCUCUUACUGCAUCUCCAUCUUUUUCAACCCCUUCAGAUUUUCAUGUUUUAAAUGCUUCUAAGAUAUACUAUCUCUAUGAAAUCUCUCUUAGCGAUGAAACCAAAAUCUCUGAAACUUAACUUUCCCUGAUGAACUCAUAUUUUGCUUUUGCUAAACCCACCUCAUCCUUUUCUCCCAUUCGUUCCAUUCGCCAACUUAUUCGCCAAACUCCAAAGGAAGUAAAUGAGUACGUUAAGUCCUUCAAGUUCGACCAACAUCCCAUUCUCGCCAUUGAAAAUGAGUACUUUGUUACUCUCUAGAUUCCUCCAGAGUUUCCUAGGCAAUAGAUUCAAAAAGGAUAGUCUCAUGUCCAUUAUGGAGUUGUUCGUCUUGCUCUUACUUUUUAUGGCCGCAAGGGCUUGCCAGUUGUGGCAAGAAUAGCAUUACUGGAUACUAGAUUUCUAAAGUACUAGUAUACUUGUAUCAGUACUAUCCAAACCACUUUAAAUGUUGGAAUAGUUUUUGUGACUUUGUAUCCAAAUUUCAAUUUGCUCUUUCAAAUCCACAGUUACUUUCCUUUUUGAAAGUCUAAGUUUAGCUCACUGGAGCACCUCAGACAGCUGAUUCUGUUGUUGCAACACUACACUACUAGAUCGUUUAUUAAGUGCAGAACCAUGCUCUUGACUUGAAUUUCCACAAUGAAAAUGAAGAUGCUUUAUUCAUCUCCAUGCAAAAUGAUCAUGCAUCCUGCAUUCAUGUUCCCAGACAUAUCCCAAAGGAAAAGUUGCCAAGCUUCUUCUAGAGACUUGGAUCACUAACUAUGAAAAGUUACAUCAGAAUAACAAACCUUUCUAGUCUUCAGACUUUGAAUUUGUCAGAAAGAAAGAUGGAACUGUUUCCAUCAAAUUUGGCAAGGAAAAUAAAGAAAUUCUUUUUAUCUUCCAAAUCCUCUUUAUGAUCGAACCAUGUGUUCCGAGCUAGAUAAAAAAAAAAGAAGCUUGUUUAAUACUUCAAAAGUGAUUAACAUCAUGUCCAUUACUACAAAGACUAGUAUGGUCACUGUUUCUAAGAUCCUUUUUGUCAAUGUUCUUUUUGCACAAACUCUCCCGACGAGGUAGACCCAUAUGCAAGACCUCGACGGAAGCAUAAGAAGCCAAAAGAUCCUAUGUACCAAAGGUACUUGAAUGGAGAUCCCUCCGUUGAUACUCUUGGUGAGUGUGAUAAAUUCUAGUUUAUGGUUUCCUAUACACCAACUCCACCACCAGAGUUCAUUACUCCACUAAUAUCACCAAGUUCAUCACCAUCACCUCCUCCAUCUCCUCCAAAAAAAAAAGAAAACCAACUCUUUCCCCAUUUUAUAAGCCAAUCUUAAAGUGGGCGAAUAAAUAUUCCUACCCACUUGAGGCUCUAGCAGAACACCACCAAGUUCUUUCAUAGCCAUGUUCCAUGAGACAUACUUUCCUCUUUUUAUUCGAGAAAGUUAUAAUCUCGUUUCCUGCUCCAAAAGAAUUCAUUGAUCUACAAGGCAGAUAUCGGCAUGCCCCUAAGAUACCUACCCCCACUGAUGUGGAUGGACAUGGAAGAUAGAAAAGGACUCCUGUUGUUGAAGCUGUCCUAAAUUGGCAAUCGGAAACUCUUUUAGCAUAUAACAAUGCGUUCAAAGCAAUUGAUUCCAAGAUUGUAAAUGUGCAACAAGAUUUUCGAAAUAUGAUGAAACCACCAAGAAGAUGCUUUCAGAUUUCCAAAAGAGGCUUCAUGCCUUGGAAUCUAGAUAACAUUUAGGGUGUCAUCAUCUCGAAAGUCCUAAGGUGGAAAUAGAGAAGCUCAAAAGGCAAAUUCAACUCCUUGAAGAAGGAAGAUUCAAUCCAUUUCCGACUACUUUGCGGACAGAGCAUCCCCCUCUUCCACUAGCCCAUAACACAUCUAUCUUUGUUGCUAUCACAGAUGUUCUUGUUAGGCAAGAUAAGACAAAUGUGGCUGAAAUGCGAAAUCUUCUCAAAGAACUGGACUGAAUAAGAAAAGAAAAGGGAAAAGAGAAGAUGCCUAAAGAAUCCUUGCUUGUCAUAAGGAAAAAGCCAGAUCAAUUGAUGCUGUCGAAUCUAUUAGAAUCUUUCCGAAGAGAUUUGGGUAAUCAGGAAUCACAGUCUGAUCUUGUUACUCAACAUCUUGAUCCCGUCAUUCCAACAGAUCAGAUUCUAUUUUCAGCAGAACUAGCUUUUCCAAAUAUCUUUGAUACUGAAUUAAAUUCGGUAUCCCUCUUGUCCUCCUCAUCCUUCUCAAUCCCUACCAUUGAUUCCUUCCCUAUUGUACUAGUAAUUUCAUCAAUAUUCAUGAUCGAUCAUCCGGACCAAGAUAUGGAAUCAAACCAUUCUGAACCAAAGGUUGUUUAGCCAAACAAUCCCUCCCAGCACGUGUAUUUUGCAUCAAAAUAGUUUAUUUAUUUAUUUAUUUAUCGUUGAUGACAUUCCCUAUCACAAAUGGCCAUAAAGACUUGAAGAAUUUCAUACUUGGUUAAAUACCCAAACCCUUACCAACCAGGAUAAGUAUGAUGUCAUUUUUGAUUUUGUCACAAGGUUUACAGGUAGCCUCAAAUAUUGGUGGCAAUCUGUGUUAGAACAAGACCGGCUUCAAUUUUUACUCUCACUUGAUUUUGGUCAUGCCAUUAUCCUUCUAUAUCAUUUCUUUGUGGGAAAACCUUUUGACCUCCAAGAGCUUAAAAGGAGAGAAUUUUUCGAAAGAAGAUGCUGCUUCUUCCAGAAAAAAACAUCUUGAUAAAUAUUAUCGAGAAAUGUUUAAGCUCUUCUAUGGUAUUGGAGCUGAUCCAAACCAGAAACGCAUCUUCUUGACUUCCAUCCCCAAAGAAUUGUCUCAAUAGGUGGAGAGAACUUUUCUCAGCAAACAAAGAAGGAUUCAGGAUAUUCCGUUAGGAGAAAUCUAACAAGAAAUUCAUUUGUGCCUUGAAGAAUUGUGUAUCAAAUGCCAAAUGAUCCAGACUUAUGUCGACAAUAACAGAGAACUUGAUAUAGCAUGUUCUCGCCAUAAGCUAAAGAUCAAAUGUUCAAAGCGAGAUUGUGAUGGUUCUUGCGGAAAAUUUUCCAGAAAAAAGCACUUCAAGAAGCUCUGGAUAAUGAAAUCUAGGCGUGGCUCUAAGCAUUUUUGAAGAAAGAAGAAAUGGCGACACCUAUGCAAAAGGAAAGAUCACUCAGGCCACAAGAAGUCAAAUCAAUGCUUCAUCUGCAAUUAGAAAAGACAUUUUGCCAAAAAUUAUCCCCAAGCGAGAAAAUGUCAAAAUCAUAUGAUAUAUCAUAUAGAGAAUGAAACAGGUAAUUCUCUUGAAAAUGAUAAUAUCGAAUCUUUAUUAUCUGAGAAUGAAGAACCAUCUGAAUAAACUCUUUGUGUCAUUCCUUGUUACGAAACUUCUAGUGAAAUUGAUUCGGAUUCAAAUCCUGAAGAUAUUUUUCACAUAUCUCUCACUUCUUCAGAAUAAAGCACUAACAUAUUUUCAAGCUAAAUUCAUUGUCCCCAUUUCCCUGUGAAAAUCUUCACUUCAAAGUUUGCCAAGCCUUUCAUUGUCAUUGCUCUCAUAGAUACUGGAGCAAGUUCUUCAAUCUUGGACACCAAAGUUAUUCUUGAAGAAUAUUGGACUUCCUAUGUUUGAUACUUCAAUUCUACCUCAGGAGAUACUUUUUCUACGAAUGUAAGAACUACCCUAGUAAUCAUCUAAUUUUUUCCACAGUGUUCCAUAACCAUAAAAAUCUCUGGUUCCAGUCUUCCCCACAAGGAUUUGAUCAUUGGCUGGGAUAUCAUGACUAAAAUUUCUCAACUUCGUAUCAUUUCUAGAAAAUGUCUUAAGUAUAAGGACUAAUUUUCUAAAUUCGUCAAUAUCCAAAGACUUUUUUUCCAUCCAAAUGAGCCUGCUAGACCCCAUCAUGCAAAAGUUGUUAAAAUCAUGUUUGGAAUUUCAUUUUGAAUUUGCUCAAAAAUGUUCUCACCCUCUAUGGGAAAAUUUAGAGUUCUUUGUUUGCCUUCCUUUUUUAAAAAAAAAUGAGGAUAUCAAUCUAAACAAGGCGAGUUACAUGGGAAUGAAGUCAGAACACUUGGUUUUAACUCAAAGGGAAUGUUCGGAACUAUUGCAGCAAUGCCUUAUUGAAAUCUCCAAUUCUCAAUGGGCCUGUGAAGCUUUUUUAUGUCAAUAAGCGUGCCGAACAAAAUAGAGGAAAUAUGAGAAUGGUAAUUAACCAUCAGCCUCUUAACAUUUUUUUCCAAGAUGAUAAAUUCCCUUUACUCUCCAGAAAUUCCCUAUUUACUAGAUUAUCCAAAGCCCAUAUUUACUCUAAAUUCAAUCUCAAAGCCAGAUUUUGGCAAUUGUGCAUCCAUCCUAAAUACAGACCCAAGAUAGGGUUCUGUAUCAUGAACCAACAUUUCCAAAUGGAAAGUUAUUCAUUUUGGUCUAAAGGUGGUACUAUCCUUAUUCCAAAAGGUCAUGUGUCGAAUUUUCCAACUAAUUUUGUCAAGUGCAGUAAUAUACAUUGACGAUAUCGUGCUUUACAAUCUUAAUGAGCAGUCACACUGCCAACUUCUUAAACAGUUUGUAGAAAUUGUGUAAAAGCAUGGGAUCAUGCUUUCUCAAAAAAAGAUGAACAUUGUCCAUAUAUAAAUUGAAUUUCUUGGUAUGACCUUAACAAAGGUAUGUAUUAUCCAUGGCCAUAUAUUGCUCAUGAAUUGUUGAAAUUUCCUGAGGAAAAUUUCACAACAAAGCAAGUUCAGCAAUUUCUUGGAAUAAUUAAUUAUCUCAAAGAUUUCGUUCCAAACAUUGCAGAACUGUUGAUUCCAUUGAAAUUGAUGCUGAAAAAGAAUCCCCCACCUUGGAGAAAAUCUCAGACUAAAGCAGUCGUCGAACUUAAGGAGAUUAUGUAGACUCUUCCUCUGUUACAAAUCCCAUCGAUAAGGAAGAUAAUUCUCUAGAUCGGCGCCAGUGAUGAAUACUGGACAGCCAUCUUGUUUGAAGAAAUUGAUGGUAAGAGACAUCUGUGUACCUAGAAAAGUGGAAAAUUUUCCCAAGCUGAAAUGCAUUAUCAUUCCACUUUCAAAGAAAUCUUGGUGAUGAAAAAUGGAAUAAAAAAGUUCGAAUUCCAUCUCAUUGGCCAUCACUUCAUGGUAAAAUUGGAUAUCCUCAGAUGAUCAAGUUCAAACAGAAGCAGAUUUCGAAUUUUCAACUGCUUCAAUGGGCUGAAUGAUUUUCAAAAUACUCUUUUGAAACCAAACAUAUUGCCGGAAAAAAAAAUGUGCUUGCUGACUUCUUGUCAAGACCAAAAGCACCAGUAAAAAUCAACAUGUACAUCAUGAGGCAUGCUUUUCAUAUUCUUCAUAACAAUGAAAAGUAUAAGAUUGAAAGAAUACAAGACUAGUCAAGCUGGCAAUAUUACUAGGAGAUUGUGGAACAAAUCUAGAAUGACUGCCUUAUUGAAAAUUUGGAUAAUCUCAUGUGGCAAUUCCACACAGAUCUGUUUAGAUUUAAUGGGGGUUCGAUUCUUUAUCUUUUUAGAUUAAAUUCAGACUAUCCGUUCAUACAUCCUUUAAUCUGGAAGGAAGAUAAUUUCCCUGACCAACUUCGAUGGUUAUUAUGGUACUUAACCAAUAAGUACUGAAUAGUAUUGAAAUUCCAACUAGAAGAUUUAUUACCAACCUCACUAGGAUAUUUAGACUUGGCAGAUGAAACAUUGAAAAAGAGAGUGACAGAAAUCUCAUAGGUUUCCUUAAUUGGUUUUAUCCCUCUACUCACUGGAAAUACCUCUUGCAGAAAGAGCUGAGAACCACACAACUAAACCCUGAGGUCCAUAUUAUUUUGUUUUUUCGACGACCGUGGGCUUUUGUCACAAAUAAUGGUAGCAGUAGCAAUGCCCCCCAAAUUAUAGGUACCACAUCCUAUAAACCUCAACCACAUAGUGUAGAAGCUCAGAUUUACAAAUCUUAUUUAGAACCCGUUGGUUGCUACGAGCACCAGUAUCGAGAACUCCAAAGGAUUUUGUACUAGGAAAAUAAAAUCAUUCCUAAAGAUGCAUGGAACUAUAAUGUACCCACUGUAUGAGAUUAUUAUAGUCUCACACUAGAAGUUAAGGAAGCACUCGAAAUAUUCAGACAAGUUACAUCAUCACAGGAGCAUGAAAUGGCAGACACAGAUGACAUCGCACAGUCCUCUCAAGAUCCCUAUGUCAAAUGGGGAGGUCCUCUUUCUCAAGAUCCCUAUGACCAAGAAACUUUGUCCUUAUCUCAAAGCAUUGACACAUCCUACUAUACUCAGUCAUCCAAUUGGUCUCAGCUAAGCAUUCUUGCCAACACUACAGGCUCCUCUUAGAAUCAAGCGAAAGCAUCCUCGUCAAAUCAAAUUCUCUCACCAGAUUCACUUGUAGGACUUGAGAAAAAAAUAUGAAGAAUAGCUUAUGUCAAUGUAUAGUUCGGACGACUCAGACUAUGACUAUAAUGCUCGUGAUGGACGAGACUAUUGACCGUACAAGUCACUGUAGCAAGUCACUUUUCACUUUCAUUGUAGCAGUAGACUAGGGAAAUAACUGUUCAUUAUCAAUGUUCAUAUCGUGCGAAUAAUCUCCUAUGCCUUUAUUUGUUUCAAGAUUGUGAGAAUGAUCCUUGUUUAUGUGUGACCUCUUAUUGCCUAUAAAAGACAAGAAUGAUGUAAUGUGUUGGGCAGAGUCCCUUGAAGUAAAGUGAGUAUUUUGUGUAAAACUCUCUAUGGCUUUAUAAACUUAUCUUCUUCUCCAGUCUGGUAGGAUCAUUUGAGAAAUGUAGUUCGGAUAGUUAGAAAUGUUACCAUCCUGGUUCUAUAUGAGUGUUUCUAGACUCUGAACUAAAGGGAAGAGUGGUUUUAUGUUAAAAGGCUGUCUCUGAAGGGCUUGAACGGAAGAGGUUCACCUACUGUGGGGUAUGCCAACUUUUGGCACUUGAAAUAAUCUUUUGCCGAAUUUCACGUUACUCUAAACACCGGAUAUGAUCAAACUUUUACUAUCAAAGUUUUAUCUAGCCCAUCAAAGGCAGUCUUAUGAGAUAGGAUGCAAUGAUAUAAUCUAUGAAUUAGAUCAAACAUUUAUUAAAAGUUUAAGAACGAUAUUUCAUUUUUUGAAUGUUAGGAUGCACGAGUAAGUUAUGUUAAAACAAUCCCACAAUAUAUUGAUAGCUUUGAAAUAAGGCUUUCUCUUGGUGAUGACGAAGAUCCAUAUGGAGAAAUUAAUGGGAGGGUUUGUUUGGCCUAACUAAAUGAGAGGCUAUAUCAGUGGGAGGUUUUUCAUUGUAACCUUGUGCUUGGUAUUUGUAUUUUAGUAAAGGAUUUUGUUAGCAUAAUAGUUUCUGAGUUAUUGUGAGAAUAACAACUUAUUAUGAGUUACAAAAUUUUCUCUUUCUUUUUUUCUUCACUUCCUUCUCCUUCCUCCAACCAAUCAUCACUAGUGAUUGGCAAGAGGCAAGGUUGGUGAGGUACCUCGCUGGUCUCGAGGAAGCUUGACCAUGGUUAGGCAACCUUGCUCAUGGCUAGGCGACCUCGCCUAGGCCGCCAACUGGGCUGGUGAGGGUUGACCCUCGACGGCCAUGGGUGAGGACAAAUGCCGCUAGUUGGGCUUGCGAGGCUCGCCCUUAUUGAAUUUGGCGAGAGUUGAGUCUCAUUGGCCAUGGGUAAGGUCAAAGGCCGUGACCUCACGUGGUCUUUGGUGAGGCUUGCCAAAGGUUGGGCAAGGCUCACCGUCGUUGGACUGAUGAGGGUCGAGUCUCGUCGGCCAUGGGUGAGAUUGCAACUUGCCCAUGGCCGGCGAGGUGAGCCUAGGCCAAAGGCAGGCGAGACCUUGCCUAACCAUGGCGAGGGUGGCCUCACCAUUGUUGGGUGAGGCUCACCCUUGCUAGUGGUGUGUGGGGGUAAGCCUUGCCAUUGGUUGGCGAGGCUAACCUUGCUGGCUUGAGUAAAAUAAAAUAUUAUUAAAAGAUUAUCUACAUCAAUAUUAGUUGGACGAGCGGUGUUGGUCGGCCAAAAUUUCUGAAUGAAUUGAAUAGUAUAAUUGCAAAAUGUUUGGGAUUGAAUUGGCUAAAAAAAAAGGUCUAAGUUUGAAUUGGAAAAAUUACAAUAAGUUUAUGAUUGUUUUGGUACGUCCUCCCUAUAUGGGAAGGAUCGUGACUAUGCUUCAAUUGAUGUAAGCAAGUGCAUCUUCACAGCCACUACCGCUCCCCUCCUACUCUUUGUAGCUUAUGCUACUCCCCUCUUAUAAAUCUCGGCUCGCCUGACGCCUUCGCCAUUGUGUAGGGAACGAGCGAGCUCGAGCUAGACCACAGUAAUGGCGGCAUCGACAAUGACGAUAAGGAGGAUCAAGUUGGGGUUGCAGGGCCUGCAGGUGUCGGUGCAAGGGCUGGGCUGCAUGGGCAUGUCCGCCUUUUACGGGCCACCCAAGUCGGAGCCCGACAUGAUCGCCCUCAUCCACCAUGUCGUCGGCUCUGGCGUCACCUUCCUUGACACCUCCGACAGCUACGACCCCCACACCAAUGAAAUCCUCCUUGGAAAGAUCGGUUCUCUCAGUCUCUGUUUUGCCUUCGCAUGAACUAUAUGUGCUUAUAAUGUUACGGAAUGUAGCUUCAUCGAGCAGAGUGCUUUGAUCCUGCGCCUUGGUUUUCUGAUUUCGGGGUUGAUUUUGAGCAGGCACUAACGGGAGGGGUGAGGCAAAAGGUGGAAUUGGCGACCAAGUUCGGAAUCAGCUUCGCGGAUGAGAAGAAAGAGGUCCAGGGCGAUCCGGCAUACGUGAGGGCGGCUUGCAAUGCCAGCUUGAAGCGACUUGACAUCGAUUGCAUCAACCUCUACUACCAGCACCGUAUCGACACUCGCGUCCCCAUUGAAGUCACUAUAUGGAUCCCUUAUCAAACUUUCACCUCGCUUGAGACUUUCUCCGAGCCAUAUGAUUAGUUGCUAAAUUAGAUUGGUGUUGAUGAUGCAUCGUCAUGUUGUUACAAGUUUGUUGAAUUUUGUUAAAUGACACUUAAGUUCAGCUGAUAGCAAAGCUCAAGAUGCGGCACGGUGUUGUUCAGGGGUUGUGGAAUUUAGUAGUUUAAUGGCUUGAGUUUUCGUUUUGUGGGCAUCCUUUACAAGUUAAGGGUCAACAAGCAUGAAAAUCAUUCGAAAUCUUCCUUACCUUUGAGAUGAAAGUGCUCCGGGGUUCAUCCUGAUUUUUUUUUUUUUUGGUGGUGAAAGUAAGUAAUUGUAUUAAGCUUUGCCAACUAUACAAGAUGAAAUCUUGGCACCAAAACUUGCACUCAGAAUGACAUGACGUCAAUGCGAGUGGAAGGAUGCUGAGAUGAAAAAUAGCAAGCAAUAAACGGUGUUGACACCUAAAUUUUGGCGAUCCGAUUAUUUAUUUAUUACAUAAAAAUUAUGGGUCAAUUUGUCUCUUAAAAAAUAUUAAUUACAUAUAGAUUUAGGUGCAUUUAUUUUUAAUUUAAUUUUUUUGUAUUUUAUUGGAUCGAUGGUGGAUGGAUUCAAAUUAAUGGUUAUGAAUUUUAAAUUGACAAAUCGAACUAAGUUCACGAAUAUAAGAAAUUGGCGCAAGCCCGUAUUUGAAAAAAUUCUAUUGUAAUUUUUGAAAAAUCAAUAGAAAACAUUCAUUUUUGCAAAGGAAAUCAAGAAGAGCUGUGGAAAAUAAAAAGUGAUAUUACGUGCGGAAAAGAAAUCUUUGCAGAUGUUGAUUUAAAAAGGAAAUUAAAAUCCUAAUUUUUGGUCUAUAAAAAAGUAACUUAGUAUAGGGUUUUGGGGAGGCUACACAUGGAAUACACAGCCAGUGGAGGGCGAAAUUCGAAAAAAUUUGGAGAGCAAACGCGAGGGGGCUUUUUCCUUCGGUUGAUUGGAGUUGAGAAUUCAAGAAAAAAGAAGAAGAAAGAAUUCGUUUGUUUGUGAAAAAAGGCAGCAAAAGUGUGCAGAAAAAAAGGAAGAGACAGAGACGGGACAGGGAAGAGUGAUGUGAGAGAGAGACGUGGAGUAGAAUAAAAAAGAAAAAAGAAAGUAAAAACAGGGAAGACUGUUCAUCCUCGCAAGCGCCUCAACCGCUGUCGCCGAUCCCUUUCGCCCGCACCGGCCCGCGACCUGCAGCCGCCGCGCUCCGUCGCCGCCUCACCCGAGCCGCCGACCACCACCGCUCGCUGCUCACACUACCGCUGUCCCGAUCUGCCCGCUCGAGCGUCCCUACGCCGGCAGAUCUGAGCUGCUCGCCACUCCACCGCCGCGCGAGUUCCCGCACCGGUCCGCGCCUCCUCUGCUGCUCGUGCCGUGCCACCACCAGGGUUCCUCUCGCUCGCGAGCUCGCACCGCCGCCCCGCUGUGCUGAUCCGCGACGACCCGACGCUCCGCUGCUGCUGCUGCUGCACCUUCGCAGGUCACCCCACCAGCACCACCGUUCGUCGCCCUGGCUGUAGGCGCGACGACUCGACACCGCCUCUGCUCAGUCACUCCUUCACCCGCUCCUGCUGCAGCACCAGUCGCUGCAACCUCCGCCGUCGCUCUUGCAUCCGACCCGACGCCAGCAGCAACGAUCCAGAUCCGGCGCCUGCUGCAGCCACAGCCCGACGCCGCUCCUCUGCCCGCGACCCAAGACCGGACGCCCAGGUCCGACGCCCUGCAGCUCCCUCUCUGAGUGACUCCCGCGACUUCCCUCACCGGAGCAACCCACCACGUUGCUGCUUCGCUUGAAAAAAAGAAAAAGAAAAAGAAAACAAAAAAAGAAAAAUCAAUUUAGGUAAUUUUUCCUUUUAUUUAUCUAUCUUAUUUUAUUAUUUUUGUUAUUUAACUUUAUUUGUUCUUUUUCAGUAUAAUUAUUCCUUAGUGUAAGGAUGAGAUGUUCGACAUGAAAUAGCCUGUGAAAUUUGUGAUUGUCAGUCCGAUUUUCACGCCUAAAAUCCGACUUGCAAUCACUUAAAAAAAAUCGCUAAUCCGAUCUUCCGCCUAAGAUUCAAUUCGCGAUUUAUGUGAAAUUGACCAACUCGAUUUCAUGCGCGAGAUAUAAUUCGUCAAUUUGGAUAUCAUCUUGCUCCGAUUUGUUGUCGUGUCAUUUAAUUAAAUUUGCUUUCAUAAAAAAAAAAUGUAGGUUAGAAUUAGGUUUAUUCCCUAUUUUAGGGUUUACAUAUUUAAAAUAUGAAUUUUAUUUCGAAUUUUUUUUUAAAAAAUAAUAAUAAAUUAAAAAAUCAAAAAUCAAAUCAAUUAAUUUAGGUUGCUAGUUUUUUUUUUUUUUUUUUAAAACUUGGAUUGCAUGUUUAAUUGUUUGGCAAUUAUUAAUUUCGAAAUUAAUAAAACAAAAACGCAACAAAAAAUCAUCAUGCAUAUGUCAUAUAGAAUUAGGGCAUCUUUUGUAUGUCAUUGCAUAUUAGGGUAAAAUUGCUAAUAUUUUUCUUAAUUUAUUAUAAGUUUAGGUAUUUUCUUAGAUAGAUUGCAUUUUAGGAUUGCUUGGGUUAGGAUAAUAUUCUAAUUUAAAUUAGGAUUUGGCUUAACCUAAUUCCUAAUACAAAUUGAAUAGAAUCUUAAUCUAGUUAGAUAAUUUUCACAUUUAAUCUAAUUUCGAAUUUCAUGAAAAAUACAAAAAAAAAGUCUUAGAAUAAAUUGGUUUUAUUCUCUAGGAUAAAUUGCAUUCUCUUUAAGGAAAAAAGAAGAAAAAUAUCAUGUGCAUGCCAUAUAAGAUUAGACUCAUGAGAUGCAUACCAUUUAGUGAUUGUUGCUAGUCCAUUUAAUUAGAAAUUGCAUAUCAUUAGAAUUAGGUCAUUUAGUUAUAUUGCAUUGCAUAUUAUAUGAUUUUCAUUAAAUAAGUGAAAAUAAAGAAAUUGCGUAUUGAUUAGAAAUUAUAUUUAAAACCGUCGAUGUGAAUUUUGAUAUAACAUUGUAGAUGCUUUCGUUGCUAUGAAAUGACUAUUACAAUUUAUUCAUUAUUUAUCUGGGUGUUAAAUUGGUGGUUUGCGCACUCAUAUGAUCACUUCAUAUGUUAAAAAAAUAGAUUUAAAAUCAAUCCAAAUUGCAUGUAAAAACAUUUUUGAAAAUAAAAAGAAGUGGUACCGAAAGGGUAUUAGAGAAUCUAGCAUAAUUAAGUCUCUGAACUCAUAAAUCUCUAAUUCGUAGGAGUGAAGUAAAUCUCCCGUUACUUUAUUUGAAGAUUAAUGGCGACUCCUAACUGAAAUAUCGUUUGUAUGUUAAGAACUUAAACCCAAGUUGCAAAUUGGUAUGGCUUGGGAGAGCUUGAGUUAGGUCUAGGCUUAACAAUUCAUUAGCCAAACCUUAGGUGAUACACACCUGAAAAUUUGGUCGCGACAAAUGGUAACAGCCACCACACAGCAAAGAAGAGCCAAACAACGGCCACCACUAGCAACCAAAGCAAAAAACAAAAGGCAACCGAGGGAUCAAACAGACGCAGCCAGAUCACCCCAAGCACCAAACCAAAAAGGGAAAGGCACAGUUCAAGCGUCCCAGUUGAGAGAAGCCGUGACCGACACGAACCAGGGGAGGAGGAAUCUUCAGUGAAACAGCCAACCCCAAGGACCUCGGCGGUAGCUCAGCACAAGAAUGUCCACCCUAGAAGGGUAUCCAGUUAGAAGGAGAUGGAUGAUGGAACAACCAUUCUCAAGGAUCGAACUCGCCGCUGAAAUAGCAGCUACAUGGAAAUCAGCUUCGUAGAUUUGAUCAAGAAUCACCUAAAGAGAAAACAAUCGGAUCAAUGCCCCAGGCACGCUGGAGUAUCCUGUUCCUCGCGGUACUAUCGACAUUUCUGAAAGUUAGAGCCUUAUCCCGGACAACCCUAAGGAGAUGGUUCUUCAGGGCCGGGAUCGUAGGAGUUAGCUCUCUAAACAAAAUAUCAUUCCUGUUCUUUCAUAUAAUGUGACAGAGGGCUCCAAGGGGUUCAUCCUGAAUUUAUAUACAGGAAUCACAGAUAAAGUUGUUCCUGGACUUUAUGCGGAGACAUUUGAUUCUUGACAUAUUGUGAAAUAUGACAAGUACUUGGAAUACUUCUUUUAUUUGCUCUCUUCUGUGAGAGAUUCAGGAAAUCUACCUCCGUUAACUCAAUACCUUGUGACUUUUUUGUUGCAUUGUGAUGCAUGAUAAUUGAGGGAUCUAGACACAUAAAAAGCUAAUGCCAUGCAUAAUUUUCUGGAUCUUAACAUGUAAGAUCUUUCGUCCAAAAAAAAAAAAAAACAUGUAAGAUCUUGAUUUUGUUGUUUUGUCAUGUGAAUAUGCAUAGAUCGGAGAGCUAAAGAAGCUCGUGGAAGAGGGUAAGAUAAAGUACAUCGGUUUAUCCGAGGCCUCUGCCUCAACAAUCAGAAGAGCACAUGCUGUUCAUCCCAUCACAGCGGUGCAAUUGGAGUGGUCGCUUUGGUCAAGAGAUGUGGAGGCAGAGAUCGUUCCAACGUGCAGGUAGGAUAUCACUCUGUUAAUUGUUUAUGCAGCAACAACAGCUUCCUUCUGACUCUGCUUUUCCUUUAAAAUGUUGACUAGGGAGCUUGGCAUUGGAAUUGUUGCCUACAGUCCUUUAGGACGAGGAUUCUUUUCUGUUGGCUCCAAGUUGGUGGAGAAUAUCUCUAAGGAUGACUUCAGACAGGUCUGUUCCUGCUUGUCAACAUAAUUAGAUGCCAGUAUCGGGCUUUGGCCCUCCGUCCUUUUUCAUUCUCAUCUUUCUUCACAAGAUAAACUAUAUCUUGACACAACCAUUUCUUGAGUAAGGACUCCUAGCACCCUUCUUAUGAGAGUUUUGGCUCAAGUUCCCAUCUGACAUAAAGCCAAUUGUGUAUUACUCCCCGCCAUUAGCGUUUGACUAGCGAUAGUGCUGGGCAAGUGAAGUAGCUAUUUUUUUUUUUUUGUAGCUAAAAGAGCUUUGCGUCUGAUAACGUUCUUCUACACAUCAUCUACAUUUCUGAUUUUUAUUUUAUGUGUGACUCAGGAAAAUGAUAAUUGCUCAUAUGCUCUCUGCUGAGACAUUGCUCUAUGUUAUGCAGUAUCUACCAAGGUUCCGGCCAGAGAACUUGGCUCACAACACGAAGUUAUUUGACCGAGUGAAUGGAAUUGCACAAAGAAAGGGAUGCACCACAUCGCAGUUAGCCCUCGCCUGGGUACACCACCAGGGUGAUGAUGUUUGCCUGAUUCCCGGCACGACCAAGAUCGAGAAUUUCAACUAGAACAUUGGAGCUCUGUCAGUGAAGCUUACACCGGAAGAGAUGGCCGAGCUUGAAUCGAUUGCUUCUGCAGACAGUGUCAAGGGUGGCAGGUACGAUGGAAGCAUGUCUACAUGGGAAAACUCCGACACUCCACCCCUUUCUUAAUAAAAUUAUGUGUUUUUCUAGUAAGGGAUGUUGCGAAAACUUUAUUGUCUUUUGCAUGCGUAAUUAUAACUAUGAGUGUAACUAUGCGUAAUUACAACAUGUGGCGUCACACAAUCCUCAGCACUUGAAUUGGGGUCUAUCAAGGUAGUGCUUGAGUCUAUGAUGCUCAAGCUCUAUUCAAUAGCACUUAGGCUCGGGUCCGCAAAGAUUGUGCAUCAGUCCUCAAUGCUUGAGGUCGGCUCGUUAGUUAAUAAAACGUUUGUUCUUAUAAAAAUAAUUAUUUUUAAAAAAUCUAUUUUUUUAUAUUAUUUGUUUUCUUUCUUUUUAUUUUCCUUCUUCUCGGCUAGUUGCCAACCAUGGCGCCGAUUGCGCCUGAUAACAAGCACCGGAUGAGCUAGCCCAAGGCCAAGAAGACUUGAGAUUGCUGAUUUGGCAAGCUUGAAGCUGGUCAAGUGCAAGCUCGAGUUUCGCCCCGUGGCUAGUCGCCAACUACCACCGUGGCUAGCGUUCGGUCGAGGAAGAAGAAAAAGAAAAAUAAGUAAAAAUCUGAAUAUUUUGUAAUCUUCUAUAGGGAAAUCAAAUAAGAUUUUUCAUAUUAAACGAUAAAAAAUAUUUUCUAGUUUAUUUUUAAGACUUAACCAAAUAUUGAAAAUGACUUUUUGUAAAAUAUUAUUCAAAUAUGUCAUAUUUUUUGCGAAACAAACGGUACAUAAAUUUAAAUUUGAUAAUUGUCCUUGUUAAUUUGGUACACAUUAUCUGUCUCUUUGUUUUGUUGCUGAACUGAUGCUAAUCUCUAGAUGAAGCUUGACUAGUUUCAAUAGGCGGCUUGACUUUUGCGCUUCCUUUUUUUUAAAACCCAAAACACUCAAAACUUUCGUGAUACACGACUUUCGACAUGCAGAGUUACAAUCACUUCAAAUAAUUUAUCUGAAAAUUGUAUAGUGGGCCAUCCGAGAAAGGUGAGGGCAACUUGUCCCCCUAGAAAUUGUCAUGACGUGGAACUCUUGACAUGAAUUGAAGUGACUUUUGUUAAGAGUUAACUAGUCAAGAUCGGGCCACAUCUGUCCAUUCAUGUCCGCCACAUCCGGCCCCUCCAAUCGGACUCCCCGGCGAAAAGAUUCACGGACACGUGGCUGGAUCUAGAAAGUCACGGGUUUGACUUGUCUUUUGUGUCACUAUCAAGAAUGUGCAUGGUCCGGACGGGCGAUUCCCGACCUAGAAUCGGGAACUGCUUGCUAAGGACCGAUUCCAAAACAUUGAAACGGAGAUCCACCAGUUAGUUGAAUGAAUCCACUUGGGAACCAGAUCGCUGAUUCAGUCCGAUUUCUAGGUGGAUCUAUGGAACCGAUCUUGACGCUAAAUAAUUUUAUUUUCAAUAUAGAACGACUACGUGAUUUCCAUAACAACAGCUGGAGAGGUUGUAGAAGGAUAUCAUGGUAGGCACUUACGAUAAUCGUGAGGAAAUGAUAGCAAUUUUGGUUAAACUUGUUUUCUAUCAUGGCUAUCAUGGGUCGAAUAAAAUUUUGCAAGCAAAUUUCGUGUCCUAGGCAUUUUUUUUCUCUUAGGUGUGAUGCUUUAAAAACCCUCUAUGUGAUGCUUAGGAACCUUUGUUUGUGAUGAAGCCUAAAGAUUUAUUCCUUGUUGUGGACUUGUUGUCCUACAUCAAAAUCUCUCAGUCAAACUUUUUUGCUUUGUUUUGGUAAGUCUGUAUAAGGUAUAUUACAGAAGUUGCAUUACGAGAUAUUUCUUCCUUAUUGUCUUUUUAGUUUAACUAAGGCCAAAUUGUUUUGGCAUUUUUCCAAGCAUUUCAUUAUGGAAUGAUGAUAAGAAGCGAUCUUGACUUAAUGCUUUUAGUUAUUUGAUUUGGAUUUAUUAAUUAGUAAUUUCAUUUUUUAAUAUUAAAAAUUAAUAUAUUAUUUUAAUAUAAUCGGUUCGGUCUAGGUGGGCGGGUAGAUAGAUCCGCUCAUGGAACUGGGAACCAGACUGGUACUCACCGGUUCCCAUAAAUUGGAAUCGAGAACCGGACCGGUUCCCUUAAAAACUACCGGUUCUGGGCGGUCCAAGCGGGUUUCGGUUAUUUUGCACAAAGAAUUAAAAAUUCAAUUUUUUUUAAAAAUAUUUUAAAAAGAAUUAUAAAAAUUUUCAUUAAAUUUGUAUUGCAUAAAAAUGUUUUAACAAUACUUUUUUUUAAAUAAAAAAAUCAUAAAAACGAGCUUUUUAAGGGUUAAUUAUUUUUUUUAUGUUAUUGUUUUUAGUUAUUCAAAGGUAUGUUUACUUCAAAUAAGGGAAGCAUGUGCAUAGUUUAAUUCUUUAUAAAUAUUUAAAUGUUUUUUUAAACUUUUCUUAUUUUAUUUUAUUUUCUAUUUUUAAUUUAAUUUGAAGAUUUAAUCUAAUUAGCAUAUAAUAGAAGUGGAUUUUCCUAAAAUAUUAAGAGGUUUUAGCAAUACGAGUUGGAUCGGGUAUGUGUCGGGUAUAUAUGAAUAUGGAUCAGAAUAAGUUAAAUAGAUCAAAUAUGAGUUCAUUCGUUUUCGACCGGACUCAAAUCCGGCUUGAUCCGGUUUCGACCCAACCCAAAUCCGACUCGAUCCACUCAUUUAACGGGUCUAGAUUGAAUUGACGUAAGCACGUGCGUCUUCGUAGCUACUGCCGCUCCCCUCCUAUAAAUCUCGGCUCGCCCGACAUCUUAGCCAUCGUCACGGUGCAGUGCAGGGAACGAGCGAGCUCGAGCUAGACGACGGCAAUGGCAGCGUCGACGACGACGGUGGGGAGGAUCAAGCUGGGGUCGCAGGGCAUGGAGGUGUCGGCGCAGGGGCUGGGCUGCAUGGGCAUGUCCAUCGGCUACGGCCCUCCCAAGCCCGACCCCGACAUGAUCGCCCUCAUCCACCACGCCGUCGGCUCCGGCGUCACCUUCCUCGACACCUCCGACAUCUACGGCCCCCACACCAACGAAAUCCUCCUCGGAAAGG